AGGAUCCUCACAGGAAGACCCAAUUCAAAAAAUUGGCGUAUGCCGCUAUAAGUGACAAGUACACGGUAUUCUUUAGUAAAAGGCGAAAGAAUAGUUCGCUAUGUACUUAUCACACGGCU
Molecule: small nuclear RNA, 119 nt
Filed under: Cajanus cajan (pigeon pea)
Lineage: Eukaryota; Viridiplantae; Streptophyta; Magnoliopsida; Fabales; Fabaceae
Description: snRNA gene-KK1_008177
Source: RNAcentral